UACGUAGGGUGCAAGCGUUGUUCGGAAUUACUGGGCGUAAAGGGCUCGUAGGCGGCCAACUAAGUCAGACGUGAAAUCCCUCGGCUUAACCGGGGAACUGCAUCUGAUACUGGAUGGCUUGAGUUCGGGAGAGGGAUGCGGAAUUCCAGGUGUAGCGGUGAAAUGCGUAGAUAUCUGGAGGAACACCGGUGGCGAAGGCGGCAUCCUGGACCGACACUGACGCUGAGGCGCGAAAGCGUGGGGAGCAAACAGG
This 253-nucleotide ribosomal RNA is filed under the name uncultured bacterium. RNAcentral describes it as "partial 16S ribosomal RNA". It matches the Rfam family "Bacterial small subunit ribosomal RNA", at positions 524 to 776 of the family's 1533-position model. The record is from RNAcentral.